GGUUCUGGGGGGAGUAUGGUCGCAAGGCUGAAACUUAAAGGAAUUGACGGAAGGGCACCACCAGGAGUGGAGCCUGCGGCUUAAUUUGACUCAACACGGGAAAACUUACCAGGUCCGGACAUGAGAAGGAUUGACAGAUUGAGAGCUCUUUCAUGAUUUUAUGGGUGGUGGUGCAUGGCCGUUCUUAGUUGGUGGAGUGAUUUGUCUGGUUGAUUCCGUUAACGAACGAGACCUCAGCCUGCUAAAUAGGCAGCGCAUUCUUGAAUGUGAUGGCUUCUUAGAGGGACUUUCCGGGUCU
Molecule: ribosomal RNA, 298 nt
Filed under: Labyrinthula sp.
Lineage: Eukaryota; Bigyra; Labyrinthulida; Labyrinthulaceae
Description: partial small subunit ribosomal RNA
Rfam family: Eukaryotic small subunit ribosomal RNA
Source: RNAcentral